CUCCGGUUGAUCCUGCCGGACCCGACUGCUAUCAGAGUGGGACUAAGCCAUGCGAGUCAACGUAGCAAUACGUGGCAUACGGCUCAGUAACACGUAGUCAACAUGCCCAGGGGACGAGGAUAACCUCGGGAAACUGAGGAUAAACCUCGAUAGGCCAUGAUUUCUGGAAUGAUUCUUGGCUCAAACCUAUAUGGCCCCUGGAUUGGACUGCGGCCGAUCAGGCUGUUGGUGAGGUAAUGGCCCACCAAACCUAUUACCGGUACGGGCUCUGAGAGGAGGAGCCCGGAGAUGGGCACUGAGACAAGGGCCCAGGCCCUAUGGGGCGCAGCAGGCGCGAAACCUCUGCAAUAGGCGAAAGCUUGACAGGGUUACUCUGAGUGAUUUCCGCUAAGGGAAUCUUUUGGCACCUCUAAAAAUGGUGCAGAAUAAGGGGUGGGCAAGUCUGGUGUCAGCCGCCGCGGUAAUACCAGCACCCCGAGUGGUCGGGACGAUUAUUGGGCCUAAAGCAUCCGUAGCCGGUCCUGCAAGUCUUCCGUUAAAUCCAGCUGCUCAACAGAUGGGCUGCGGGAGAUACUACAGGGCUAGGAGGCGGGAGAGGCAAGCGGUACUUUAUGGGUAGGGGUAAAAUCCGCUGAUCCAUAGAAGACCACCAGUGGCGAAGGCGGCUUGCCAGAACGCGCUCGACGGUGAGGGAUGAAAGCUGGGGGAGCAAACCGGAUUAGAUACCCGGGUAGUCCCAGCUGUAAACGAUGCAGACUCGGUGAUGGGUUGGCUUCGAGCCAACCCAGUGCCGCAGGGAAGCCGUUAAGUCUGCCGCCUGGGGAGUACGGUCGCAAGACUGAAACUUAAAGGAAUUGGCGGGGGAGCAC
RNAcentral lists this ribosomal RNA (869 nucleotides) under uncultured archaeon. RNAcentral's name for it is "bacterial SSU rRNA". It matches the Rfam family "Archaeal small subunit ribosomal RNA", at positions 1 to 879 of the family's 1478-position model. The record is from RNAcentral.